This 253-nucleotide ribosomal RNA is filed under the name uncultured bacterium. RNAcentral describes it as "partial 16S ribosomal RNA". It matches the Rfam family "Bacterial small subunit ribosomal RNA", at positions 524 to 776 of the family's 1533-position model. The record is from RNAcentral.
UACAGAGGUGCCAAGCGUUAGGCGGAAUCACUGGGCUUAAAGCGUGUGUAGGUGGAUGCCUAAGUACCUUGUGAAAUCCCACGGCUUAACCGUGGAACUGCUCGGUAUACUGGGUGUCUUGAGCCAACUAGGGGCAGUCGGAACAAACGGUGGAGCGGUGAAAUGCGUAGAUAUCGUUUGGAACGCCAAUGGUGAAAACAGACUGCUGGGGUUGUGCUGACACUGAGACACGAAAGCCAGGGGAGCGAACGGG